GGAUAUAUGGAGUAGUGGUUAGGGCACAGGACCCUGGACCCCAGGGUUGUGGGAUCGAACCCCAGUGGAUACA
Molecule: non-coding RNA, 73 nt
Organism: Albula glossodonta (roundjaw bonefish)
Lineage: Eukaryota; Metazoa; Chordata; Actinopteri; Albuliformes; Albulidae
Source: the annotation of a GenBank genome assembly